RNAcentral lists this ribosomal RNA (253 nucleotides) under uncultured bacterium. Its description in RNAcentral is "partial 16S ribosomal RNA". It matches the Rfam family "Bacterial small subunit ribosomal RNA", at positions 524 to 776 of the family's 1533-position model. The record is from RNAcentral.
UACGAAGGACCCGAGCGUUAUCCGGAUUUAUUGGGUUUAAAGGGUGCGUAGGCGGAUUUACAAGUCAGUGGUGAAAUCUCCCAGCUUAACUGGGAAACUGCCAUUGAAACUGUUUAUCUUGAGUACAUUUGAGGCGGGCGGAAUGUGUCAUGUAGAGGUGAAAUUCUUAGAUAUGACACAGAACACCAAUUGCGAAGGCAGCUCGCUAAACUGUAACUGACGCUGAGGCACGAAAUCGUGGGGAUCAAACAGG